Molecule: unclassified non-coding RNA, 384 nt
Filed under: uncultured Tepidisphaerales bacterium
Lineage: Bacteria; Pseudomonadati; Planctomycetota; Phycisphaerae; Tepidisphaerales
Description: contains 16S-23S intergenic spacer region
Source: RNAcentral
UCCGGUUUGACACCGGCAGUCCCCUUAGAGUCCCCGGCAUAACCCGCUGGUAACUAAGGGCAAAGGUUUCGCUCGUUAAGGGACUUAACCCGACAUCUCACGACACGAGCUGACGACAGCCAUGCAGCACCUGUACCAGUUGUACCCCGGAGGGCCUACUCGACUUUCAUCGAGAUAAUCCUGGCAUGUCAAGCCCAGGUAAGGUUCUGCGCGUUGCUUCGAAUUGAACCACAUGCUCCACCGCUUGUGUGAGCCCCCGUCAAUUUCUUUGAGUUUUAGCCUUGCGACCGUACUUCCCAGGCGGUCCACUUAGCACUUUUGCUUCGACCGCAAACCCUUCAGGGGGACUGCGAUCUAGUGGACAUCGUUUACGGCCAGGACUAC